RNAcentral lists this ribosomal RNA (433 nucleotides) under uncultured bacterium. RNAcentral's name for it is "partial 16S ribosomal RNA". It matches the Rfam family "Bacterial small subunit ribosomal RNA", at positions 29 to 507 of the family's 1533-position model. The record is from RNAcentral.
AAUGAACGCUGGCGGCAUGCCUAACACAUGCAAGUCGAACGAAGGCUUCGGCCUUAGUGGCGCACGGGUGCGUAACGCGUGGGAAUCUGCCCCUGGGUUCGGAAUAACAGUUAGAAAUGACUGCUAAUACCGGAGGAUGACGUAAGUCCAAAGAUUUAUCGCCGAGGGAUGAGCCCGCGUAGGAUUAGCUAGUUGGUGUGGUAAGAGCGCACCAAGGCGACGAUCCUUAGCUGGUCUGAGAGGAUGAUCAGCCACACUGGGACUGAGACACGGCUCAGACUCCUACGGGAGGCAGCAGUGGGGAAUAUUGGACAAUGGGCGAAAGCCUGAUCCAGCAAUGCCGCGUGAGUGAUGAAGGCCUUAGGGUUGUAAAGCUCUUUUACCCGGGAUGAUAAUGACAGUACCGGGAGAAUAAGCUCCGGCUAACUCCGUG